RNAcentral lists this long non-coding RNA (269 nucleotides) under Gossypium barbadense (sea-island cotton). Its description in RNAcentral is "long non-coding RNA (GBAR_LNC010539)". Lineage: Eukaryota; Viridiplantae; Streptophyta; Magnoliopsida; Malvales; Malvaceae. The record is from RNAcentral.
UUUUUAUUCCGAAGGUUCAAUCGGGAAAUUCCUCACUUUUCAAUAUUUAAAUAAAUUUUCCGUAAUCAAUUUAAAUUCAUAAUUUACAUCAAAUAACCAUUUGAUAGGCAGCCACAUUUCAUAUGAUAUCAAAAUAUAAUAACAUAAAAAGAAUCGAUAGAUUAUUUAUGUACGAAUUUACUCGAAGUGUCGAUCUCACUAUCCAUAGUACCAAUUGUCUAUUCAUAGUAUAAUAAGACACAACUCAAAUAUCAAAUCAGCUUUUAAGA